GUUGUCAUAAACGUGAACACCGUAGCUAAGUAAAUCGAGAGAUCCAAAGGUAGACCAUUCUUGUGCUACAUUAAAAUCAGCGAGUGGCUUAUGUAAAUAUAUGUCACCAGUUUGGUCAGAGUCAAUAACUACACGCCAAUGUUCACCAUCAUGGAAUACGACUACAUCAUAGAGUGGUCCCGGAUUGUCAAACUUUUCAGCAAGCUGCUUUAAGCACUCGAUCCUAGCCUCAAGUUCCUUCUGUGUCUGUAGGUUAUCCUUAUCGAGCGGUGCUUCAGGAAACUUAUCCUUGAAUUUAGCAUACUCGUCUGUAGCAUCUUGUAAAAGCUUUCUAUUACUCUUGUUCAUGUCUUCGGUUUCUAGUUUUUGCAAUCGUUUUCUCAGAUCCUUAGGAAAGAACUCAUAAGCAAGUUUACAACCCACUUUCCAUUUCUUCGAGGGAUUCUUCCAUUCUUUCGAUAAUUUUAAGGUCCUUCCUGAACGACCCGUAAUAGUCAAGUAAUCAUUUGAAUCAGCUGCAGCAACUUCCACGCUUGUAUCAACAUCACCAGCUCCAGUACAAUCGACAAUAUUUUUGAAUUUUGGUAAACCGGUGGUUGUUACCGAUAAACCUGGAGCUCCA
Schizosaccharomyces pombe (fission yeast) is the source of this 622-nucleotide non-coding RNA. The record is from the annotation of a GenBank genome assembly. Lineage: Eukaryota; Fungi; Ascomycota; Schizosaccharomycetes; Schizosaccharomycetales; Schizosaccharomycetaceae.